This 3002-nucleotide long non-coding RNA is filed under the name Gossypium barbadense (sea-island cotton). Its description in RNAcentral is "long non-coding RNA (GBAR_LNC005244)". The record is from RNAcentral. Lineage: Eukaryota; Viridiplantae; Streptophyta; Magnoliopsida; Malvales; Malvaceae.
AGAAAGUCAAACUCAUAUCCGAUCUUGAUAACACAAAAGAUAAAUAAUUAACAACAUGCAGAAGAAAAAAGAAAUCCAAAUCCAAGUGGAACGAUAUUCUCAAUUUACAUAAUCUGAAAAAUACAUAAAAGAAGGAUAGAUGUGUUUUGCAAGAAACAUCAGUGUGAAUAUAGAUAUCUAUUUUUCCACCUUAACAACAACAUCAAUCUUAUCACCUCUCAAUCCUGCUUGAUGAGCCUAAUUCAGAUACGAACAUAUGUUUAGGUAUAUCCACUUAUCUUAUUUCCGGAAUCCGAGAGCCCCGCAAAACUGUUAAACCUUAUGGUAGCAUUAAAACAGCAAAUGUGUCAUAUCCUGCCGUAUGUUGGCAAGCAUGAAGCUAAUUUAAUGAAAAUGUUUAGCCUUCAAAGAUUUUAUAUGUUUAAAUAUAUAAACCUAUACCCUUCCCAGCAUGCUUAUAUAAAACUUCAAGCCAGGUAAAGAAAUGAAAAAGUAAUACCUGUGCAAUUGAUGCAGAACCAAGAUGAUUUACAUCAAAUUUCUGAAAAAUUUCACCCAUGCUUCGACCAAACUCCUCUAAAACAAGUUGAACAGCAUCAAAUGUCUUAACAUAUAUAGAAAACAACACGAAACAAAGCACAUUUCUAUUAAAUUAUGACAACCUCCCCUUAUAGAGUUCUUUAAUGAAGUAAUUCAAUAACUCAUAACAUACGAAAUAACGUAUCCAAAGCCAAUUUAAUGCAUUCGAGUCAUGACCAAUGUCAAAUUAUAAAACAUAGAGAAAUAUAAUCCACAAACCUUGAAAAUUGAAAUCAACAAGCUCAAAGCAUUCCAGCAAAGGAUCCUCAAAAAGAGACCUGCAAUACGACUGGUAGAUUCCCCUACACACGCAAGUUGCAGAAUCAAUACAAGUAUCCACUGAACACAAACAAAAAAUAGUAAACCAUACAAAUAAACAAUCAACAAAAAGAAAAGAGACUUGAAGAAGAGUUUUAUACCUUAAGUUUCUAUGAUGAAACAAAAAAAUAAAAGAGAGCGUAGAAAACUGAGGCAUAAAAACAAUAUCACUAACCUUUCUUGAAAGAAAGGUCAGAAUAUCCAACCUUUCACGCGGAGAUGGAAAAUCACAGAAACGGAGGCGAUCAAGCCUACUUAGUCUUAGUAAUGCAGCAUCAAGCAGAUCUGGUCUACUGUUUAUGAGAAGAAUUCAAGUCAAUUUUUAUUAAAGCCAUACAACUCAUAAGGAAAACCAUGAAAUAAGAAACUCAUAUAUUUAUGGAAAAACUUGAAAUCAAGAAACGUAUUCUCUUUUAAAAAUUUUGCGCUACUUGAAAAGCUAUCUUAUUUGGGUAUGCAUCUCAUGUUAAAAUCGAUCACGUGAAGAUAAUAACGAACCAAACUCAACAUUGUGGGGAUUAACCGAAGAUUAAGGAUAGAUACUAUCAAAAUAAUACAAUAGGAUUCCAUGAGAACUAACCUUGUUGCAACAAAUACAAAUACACCAGUCAAAAACUUCAAAACCAUCUAAUUGUUAUUAUCGAAAGUGAUUCACCUGGCAUCAUUUCCAGGCUUCGGAGCAACAUUAUGGACCUGUCCUAUGUUGGCAUCUUUAUAAAUGGGACAUGGGCAUUGAUGCCCUUAUUUGAGUCUGUAUUCAUCCACAGGCAUGGUAAUAGAGUAGCACAUAGCCUAAAAAUCAUUUUAGAGUUUGAAUUAGAAACAAAAAUGCAUGAUAUUGUGGUCAUUCUAACCCCUUUCAGCAUGUCAACUACAAGUAAAAUUUGAACUUUCUAUUCAAAUUCAUUCAUCAAUGGUUGCCAAACCCAAUUUAAUCCUACACUACAUGGUACUUCAAACUACAAAUUUUUAGCAUAUAUGAUGCAUAAAAAUUUUGGUCAAUAUAACAAAUCUCAAAUUGCAAUGCUUUAUUGAAUAGAAAGAAAAUCAAGUAGCUAGACUAUGGAAAGAGAUAAAAAAAAAGAGUCCAAUUUCUACACAAAAAGAAUUGAACAUCAGCAUUCAUAACAUAAAACAAUACUUUUCAGCAAGCACCAUAUAAUUUAAUCAUUAAAAAAGUCUCUUUUUCUUUGUUAAAAACCCAAAAUUUUUCCAAUCAUUCUCAUUUGGCCAACUUUGAUUUCUCAAGGGAAAUUAUUUGAUCAAUGAUUCCACAACCCAUUUAUAAAGAAAUCAGUUGUUAAACUCAAAAAAACGAAAGUCUCCUUUAGACAUAGCCAAAUACAAGUAAUUAACAUUUACCAGCUAUCAAAGUUGUAAAAGACCCAGAAAAAAAUCAAAAAUUGCAAAGAAAACAGAGAAAAAUAACAUUUACAAGCUAUCGAAGUUGUAGAAAACCCAAGAAAAAUAAAAAAUUGCAAAGAAAACAUGAGAAUUAAAAAAAGAAAAAACCAGAAAAACUCAAAUUAGGGCUAGCAGGCCAAAACUUAGAAGCAACAACAAAAUGAGUACUCCUCACUACAGCAAAAUAGGUUUUUAGCGGCAUUUUUUUGGGCCUAUAGCAGUGCUUAUAAGUGCCGCUAAAACUAUUUGAAAAAACCCCUAAAAACAACGCCACUAACAUUUUGACGCCGAUAUAGAACAUGACCUUUAGCGGCGCUUUUACCACAAACGCCGCUAAAGAACAUGACAUUUAGCGACAAUUUUCCUACAAAGAAUGGACCUUUAACGACACUUUUCCCACAAACAUCGCUAAAAAUGACCUUUAGCGGCGCUUUUUUAAAAAAACGCUACUAUAGAACAGACCUUUAGUGGCGCUUUUCCCACAAACGCCGCUAGAACAUGACUUUAAAAAAUAUUUUAAUUAAAUAAUAUUUAUUUCUAUGAUAAAUAUUAUAUUAUGUUUCAUUUUUGAAAUUUAAAAUUUAAACUAUAUACUUUUAAGGAUUAAAAAAAAAUAUUAAUUAAAUUAAAUUUUCUAUUAAAAUUUUAACUUUAAAACUAAAUAUAAAAAUUAAUGAAUUUAAAUGUAAUACAUAAAACAU